Molecule: ribosomal RNA, 293 nt
Filed under: uncultured bacterium
Lineage: Bacteria
Description: partial 16S ribosomal RNA
Rfam family: Bacterial small subunit ribosomal RNA
Source: RNAcentral
GUGUCAGCAGCCGCGGUAACACGUAGGGACCAAGCGUUGUCCGGAUUUAUUGGGCGUAAAGAGCUCGUAGGCGGUUCGGUAAGUCGGGUGUGAAAACUCUGGGCUCAACUCAGAGAUGCCACCCGAUACUGCCGUGACUUGAGUCCGGUAGGGGAGCACGGAAUUCCUGGUGUAGCGGUGAAAUGCGCAGAUAUCAGGAGGAACACCGGUGGCGAAGGCGGUGCUCUGGGCCGGUACUGACGCUGAGGAGCGAAAGCGUGGGUAGCAAACAGGAUUAGAAACCCUUGUAGUCC